AGACUGGUAAGUUAAUAAAACUGUGGGGUUCAUGUCUCCUUAAUACAUUUAUAUAAUGUCUGGUUGA
This 67-nucleotide transfer RNA is filed under the name Taenia twitchelli. RNAcentral's name for it is "tRNA-Met". Lineage: Eukaryota; Metazoa; Platyhelminthes; Cestoda; Cyclophyllidea; Taeniidae. The record is from RNAcentral.